AUAUCUCUCUGUACGGGAAGGAUGAGAAGCUUCGACUAAGGUUCGAUUCGAGCGCAGCGAGAAAGCGUUGCCGCAGGCAACGACCCGAAGGGCGAAACGCGCAGCGCUGAGUAAUCCUUCCCCCACCACCA
This 131-nucleotide small RNA is filed under the name Salmonella enterica. RNAcentral's name for it is "RtT sRNA". It matches the Rfam family "RtT RNA". Rfam says of the family: This family represents a bacterial cis-regulatory element known as RtT RNA. The exact function of RtT is unknown although it is thought that it may be involved in changing the cellular response in relation to amino acid starvation. The record is from RNAcentral. RNAcentral also lists the same sequence under 1 other name. Lineage: Bacteria; Pseudomonadati; Pseudomonadota; Gammaproteobacteria; Enterobacterales; Enterobacteriaceae.